This 631-nucleotide ribosomal RNA is filed under the name Mesomycoplasma hyopneumoniae. RNAcentral's name for it is "bacterial SSU rRNA". It matches the Rfam family "Bacterial small subunit ribosomal RNA", at positions 227 to 856 of the family's 1533-position model. The record is from RNAcentral. Lineage: Bacteria; Bacillati; Mycoplasmatota; Mycoplasmoidales; Metamycoplasmataceae.
CGGAAAGGGGCACUUAGUUAGUUGGUAGGGUAAAAGCCUACCAAGACGAUGAUGUUUAGCGGGGCCAAGAGGUUGUACCGCCACACUGGGAUUGAGAUACGGCCCAGACUCCUACGGGAGGCAGCAGUAAGGAAUAUUCCACAAUAAGCGAAAGCUUGAUGGAGCGACACAGCGUGCAGGAUGAAGUCUUUCGGGAUGUAAACUGCUGUUGUAAGGGAAGAAAAAACUAGAUAGGAAAUGCUCUAGUCUUGACGGUACCUUAUUAGAAAGCGACGGCAAACUAUGUGCCAGCAGCCGCGGUAAUACAUAGGUCGCAAGCGUUAUCCGGAAUUAUUGGGCGUAAAGCGUCCGUAGGUUUUUUGUUAAGUUUAAAGUUAAAUGCUAAAGCUCAACUUUAGUCCGCUUUAGAUACUGGCAAAAUAGAAUUAUGAAGAGGUUAGCGGAAUUCCUAGUGGAGUGGUGGAAUACGUAGAUAUUAGGAAGAACACCAAUAGGCGAAGGCAGCUAACUGGUCAUAUAUUGACACUAAGGGACGAAAGCGUGGGGAGCAAACAGGAUUAGAUACCCUGGUAGUCCACGCCGUAAACGAUGAUCAUUAGUUGGUGGCAAAACCAAAAAAAACCAAAAAAAA